UGUUGGGUAGGGGAGCGUUCUGUAAGCCUGCGAAGGUGGCCUGUGAGGGUUGCUGGAGGUAUCAGAAGUGCGAAUGCUGACAUAAGUAACGAUAAAGCGGGUGAAAAGCCCGCUCGCCGGAAGACCAAGGGUUCCUGUCCAACGUUAAUCGGGGCAGGGUGAGUCGACCCCUAAGGCGAGGCCGAAAGGCGUAGUCGAUGGGAAACGGGUUAAUAUUCCCGUACUUGGUGUUACUGCGAAGGGGGGACGGAGAAGGCUAUGUUGGCCGGGCGACGGUUGUCCCGGUUUAAGCGUGUAGGUGUGUGUUCCAGGUAAAUCCGGUUCACUUUAACACUGAGGCGUGACGACGAGGCACUACGGUGCUGAAGCAACAAAUGCCCUGCUUCCAGGAAAAGCCUCUAAGCAUCAGGUAACAUCAAAUCGUACCCCAAACCGACACAGGUGGUCAGGUAGAGAAUACCAAGGCGCUUGAGAGAACUCGGGUGAAGGAACUAGGCAAAAUGGUGCCGUAACUUCGGGAGAAGGCACGCUGACAC
This 536-nucleotide ribosomal RNA is filed under the name Salmonella enterica. RNAcentral's name for it is "partial 23S ribosomal RNA". It matches the Rfam family "Bacterial large subunit ribosomal RNA", at positions 1222 to 1757 of the family's 2925-position model. RNAcentral also lists the same sequence under 1 other name. The record is from RNAcentral. Lineage: Bacteria; Pseudomonadati; Pseudomonadota; Gammaproteobacteria; Enterobacterales; Enterobacteriaceae.